CAUCGGAUGUGCCCAGAUGGGAUUAGCUUGUUGGUGGGGUAACGGCUCACCAAGGCGACGAUCCCUAGCUGGUCUGAGAGGAUGACCAGCCACACUGGAACUGAGACACGGUCCAGACUCCUACGGGAGGCAGCAGUGGGGAAUAUUGCACAAUGGGCGCAAGCCUGAUGCAGCCAUGCCGCGUGUAUGAAGAAGGCCUUCGGGUUGUAAAGUACUUUCAGCGGGGAGGAAGGGAGUAAAGUUAAUACCUUUGCUCAUUGACGUUACCCGCAGAAGAAGCACCGGCUAACUCCGUGCCAGCAGCCGCGGUAAUACGGAGGGUGCAAGCGUUAAUCGGAAUUACUGGGCGUAAAGCGCACGCAGGCGGUUUGUUAAGUCAGAUGUGAAAUCCCCGGGCUCAACCUGGGAACUGCAUCUGAUACUGGCAAGCUUGAGUCUCGUAGAGGGGGGUAGAAUUCCAGGUGUAGCGGUGAAAUGCGUAGAGAUCUGGAGGAAUACCGGUGGCGAAGGCGGCCCCCUGGACGAAGACUGACGCUCAGGUGCGAAAGCGUGGGGAGCAAACAGGAUU
This 568-nucleotide ribosomal RNA is filed under the name Shigella flexneri. RNAcentral describes it as "bacterial SSU rRNA". It matches the Rfam family "Bacterial small subunit ribosomal RNA", at positions 219 to 779 of the family's 1533-position model. Lineage: Bacteria; Pseudomonadati; Pseudomonadota; Gammaproteobacteria; Enterobacterales; Enterobacteriaceae. The record is from RNAcentral.